GGGUUCGUAGCUCAGCCGGUUAGAGCGCUGCGUUCACAUCGCAGAGGUCAGAGGUUCGAGUCCUCUCGAGCCCACCA
This 77-nucleotide transfer RNA is filed under the name Parcubacteria group bacterium CG2_30_48_51. RNAcentral describes it as "tRNA-Val". It matches the Rfam family "tRNA". Rfam says of the family: Transfer RNA (tRNA) molecules are approximately 80 nucleotides in length. Their secondary structure includes four short double-helical elements and three loops (D, anti-codon, and T loops). The record is from RNAcentral. RNAcentral also lists the same sequence under 6 other names.